GUCAGCAGCCGCGGUAACACCGGCGGCCCGAGUGGUGAUCGUGAUUAUUGGGUCUAAAGGGUCCGUAGCCGGUUUGGUCAGUCCUCCGGGAAAUCUGAUAGCUCAACUAUUAGGCUUUCGGGGGGAUACUGCCAGACUUGGAACCGGGAGAGGUAAGAGGUACUACAGGGGUAGGAGUGAAAUCUUGUAAUCCCUGUGGGACCACCUGUGGCGAAGGCGUCUUACCAGAACGGGUUCGACGGUGAGGGACGAAAGCUGGGGGCACGAACCGGAUUAGAUACCCGGGUAGUCCCAGCCGUAAACGAUGCUCGCUAGGUGUCAGGCAUGGCGCGACCGUGUCUGGUGCCGCAGGGAAGCCGUGAAGCGAGCCACCUGGGAAGUACGGCCGCAAGGCUGAAACUUAAAGGAAUUGGCGGGGGAGCACAACAACGGGUGGAGCCCUGCGGUUUAAUUGGACUCAACGCCGGACAACUCACCGGGGGCGACAGCAAUAUGUAGGCCAAGCUGAAGACUUUGCCUGAAUCGCUGAGGAGUGGUGCAUGG
RNAcentral lists this ribosomal RNA (543 nucleotides) under uncultured archaeon. Its description in RNAcentral is "bacterial SSU rRNA". It matches the Rfam family "Archaeal small subunit ribosomal RNA", at positions 457 to 997 of the family's 1478-position model. The record is from RNAcentral.